Molecule: long non-coding RNA, 10166 nt
Organism: Zeugodacus cucurbitae (melon fly)
Lineage: Eukaryota; Metazoa; Arthropoda; Insecta; Diptera; Tephritidae
Exons: 2
Source: RefSeq, a predicted model, not a curated record
CAAAUAUAUUGCUCAAAAUCAAUUGAAGUCGAGUUUAGCUGUUACAAGCUUGUUAUCAUAACCUUUUGCACCUUACGACCUUUGUUCAUAUAAAAUAUUUAAUUUCAAGUAUCGCAAUAAAAUAAAAUUGUUACCAUUCUACAUGCAUACAUAAAUAUACAUAAAUACACCCGAAAAUUUGCAUUUUCACAAUUUGUCGCAAAAUUGAUUUUUUCCAGCGUAAUUACAUUUUUUCAUAGCCCAUAUUCAAUGAAUUUUUGGUAUGUACUCGUUUUCCUCCUUUUGCUUAUUCAGCUAUUUUUGCAAUUAAAUAUUUUAUUUACUUUCGUCAUGUUUCAGUUUUUGUUUUAUUACGCUUAAACAAUUUCAAUAGCGCAGUGUCAGCAAUAUGUACAGAUACAGAUACAUACAUACAUAUUUAUUAUACAUAUGUACAUAUGUAUAUACAUUCUUGUGGAGUAAAUAACAAAUUUGCAAUGACGUAAAUUGCCUCAUUUAUAUUUAUUUACUUCUGCUUAUAUUUUCACUUAUAUGCAUCUGUGUGUGUGUGUGUGUAUUGGUGUGCGCACAUAAAAAAAUGUACAAAGCUAACAUUGAGAAUAUUAAAAUAAAUAGGAGUAUAAGUAUGUAGGUAUGUAUAUGUGCGCAGCCAUUAAUAGAAAUUAGGGUCAUAUGGAAAGAUAUUGGGAGUUAUAUUUCGACUAAACAUGUUUUGUGUGUGUAUUUUUUUUAUGAAAAUUUGGUAAUCUAGUGUGUAUUUGGGUCAGAGCUAGUUAUAUGAGAUUUCCGUUUCAAUUUGUUAAAAUUCAUUCACGAAGUUCAAAUCCUCGAUUUUAUCGAAUAUAUAGUUCAAUACCUUCUAAGAAGUGAUUUAAGAAACUCUGUGUCUGAAGUCCUGGAGAGCCUUGCAGAAUAUAGAUCAGAUUUUAUUGCUUUGACAAUUGCUUUGACAGUACUCUCCUUGCUCUUUAACGCUAUUCUCAGUUUCGGGUACUAUCCAAAUUCAUGGAAAAAGUCGCAGAUCAUCAUGAUAGAGAAACCAGGUAAAGACUUGACACAGCCGUCUUCAUACAGACCAAUCAGUCUUCUACCCUGUCUUUCUAAAAUAUUUGAAAAAGUGUUACUAUCAAAGAUGGCUCCUUUCCUCCAUAAAAAUAAUGUAAUACCAACGCACCAAUUCGGUUUUCGUGCAAAACAUGGCACUGUAGAACAAGUAAAUAGAAUUACUAACGAAAUCAGAAGGGCGUUCGAGUUUAGAGAGUACUGUUCUGCUAUAUUUCUAGAUGUGGCUCAGGCGUUCGAUAAAGUGUGGCAUGACGGGCUUUUAUAUAAGAUUAAAAAAAAGCUUACCUCUCGAAAAGCAUAAAAGUUUACUGUCAAAGUAGGAGACUUCAUUUCUGAAGAACGACCAAUAAGAGCUGGUGUACCUCAGGGCAGUGUUUUAGGGCCAACUCUAUACAUAAUAUAUACAGCAGACCUUCCAACAGCUAGUAAUAUUUUGACAUCAACUUUUACGGAUGACACAGCUUUAGUGAGCCGAAACAAAUGCCCAAUUAUAGCAUCAAAAGUAUUAGGAGAGCAUUUGAUUUUUGUCGAAGAAUGGCUAGCAAACUGGCGUAUAAAUGUAAACGAACAGAAAUGCAAGCAUGUUACAUUUUCUCUAAGACCAAAAACGUGUCCGGCAGUUAAAAUGAACAAUAUUUUAGUACCUCAAGCGACUGAAGUAACAUAUCUUGGUAUUCACUUGGAUAGAAGGCUCACGUGGAGAAAACACAUAUCGAGCAAAAUAACCUGCAUGAAGAUAAGAGCAGCACAAUAAAUUGGCUUUUAAAUAAAAAUUCAAAACUUAGCCUAGACAACAAAGUUCUAUUAUACAACGCGGUCAUAAAGCCGAUUUGGAUGUACGGCAUCCAACUGUGGGGUACGACCUGUGCAACCAAUAUCGAUAUAAUUCAGAGAUUCCAAUCAAAAAUGCUUAGAACAAUCACGUGCUCACCAUGGUAUAUGCGUAAUGAAAAUAUCCAUAAAGAUCUUGGUAUCCUCAUGGUAAAGAAAGAAGUAGAGAACAGCAGAAAUAAAUAUUUAUCAAACUCCGCGAUCACCCAAACCCAUUGGCUAAUGCUUUAUUACAUUCUUGUAAUCAAUCACGUCUAAAAAGAAGAGAUAUGCCAGCUCACUGAGGAGCAACGUUUCACCAAAACAACUCAAUCAAUUGGUUGAGCUUGUCUAGUUUUAAUUAGAAUUAAGAUUUUAUAACUUAUUGUUAGGCUCCAAAGAGCAUAUUCAAUAAAUAAAGAAAUAUAUGAAAAAAAAGAUUUUAUUGCUGGAACUGAACUCAAGCUCUGAAAACAAUCGCUGGACAAAUAUUGUAUUCCUUCAAAGUCGUUCAAGUCACUCUUAAAAUGCUUUUUGAAAUAAAAAAUAUAUUGAAUUGAAAGAAUUUCACUUUCUGCUUAGGACAAUGCAAAGAUCUCAUGGUCUUAAUUACUCAGACUAGUCUUUAUAUUUCUUAAAAGAAACUUAAUAUAAUUAAAGUUUCUUCGGCGAGUAAUUUAGAAAUAUUCUACAGACAAUUUCAUUUAUAAAGUGUUUUUCAAUAAGAGCGCUACAAAAUCGAAAUCAAUGAAAUUUUUUAUUCCUGUGAAAGCAUGGCAUUCGAUGCCAUUAUGUAUGGAAAUCGAUUUCUUUUGCAUGGGCACGCUUGCAGAUGUCCAGACAAACACAAAUUUUCGACGGGUUUCAAGCAUAAAUCGACCGUUAUUCUGCUACUCACGUUCGAUAUUUGUACGAAGUUCAUCUAUCGUCGCUGACUUGUUAUCAUAGACCAUAGACUUGACGUAGCCCCACAGGAAAUAGUCUAACGGCUUCAAAUCGCACGACCGAAGCGUCGAAUUGACUGGCCCAUUUCGUGAGAUAAUACGAUAACCAAACUUGGUUUUAUAUAAAUCGGUUGUAACAUUCGCUGUGUGGCUUGUGGCGCCUGUUGGAAUCACAUAUUGUCCAUUGUCCAUGUCAUCCAAUUCGGGCAAAAAAUAUUCGGUUAUCAUUGAGCGGUAGCGAUUCCCAUUCACAGUAACGUGCCGGUCUUAACCAUCACGGAAGAAGUACGGCCCAAUGACGCUGCCCGACCCAUAAACCACACCAAAACGUAAUAUUUUUCGAGAUGCAAUGGUGACUCAUGGAUUACGUGUGGAUUGUUGCCUGACGUGUGGAUUAUUGACAAAGCCAUUCAGCCAGAAAUGAGCCUCAACAUAAAUUGAACGUAGCGCUAUUAAAGUUGAGGCUACUGACUCCGAAUUUCGAUAGUAAAUUUAAAUAAUUUCGACUCAUUGUUGGAUCGUCUAUCUUUCCAUGAUGAAAUGGCAAACCUUACUGAAGAGAAAUGUCAAACGAGCGGGAAAAAUAUGUCGUCGUUUGCUGUCCCGAUCGGUCAACUUUUGUGGCUACCUUAUUGAAAACCAUAUUUAUUAGGUUGAAUCAAGUUUCAUGAUCAAUUCGAGAGAUCUCCAUCCAUUUUAGUUAGUAGAUAUACCGGUCCUUUGUAAUGCCGAAGCUUCUAAGUAUGGAGAAAGAGACCCUUAUGUAUCACAGAAGUGUUAAGUGUCCAUCAUAAUUUUGUUGAGGCGUCUAUAAUCGAUUUCAGCCAAUUCGCCUCAUUCAUCGAAGAUAAGACCUUCAAGUUGUCUCAACCUCAGCUUAGUUGUAAAAGAGGAAUUAUUAUGGUGUGCUUUAAUAUUUUUAGUGACACUUUUCUCAUAAAGCUCUAUGUAUUACGAUAUAACGCCAUUUUGUUUUAUGAUUUUUCGCUCAUAUAAUCAUAUCUUGUAUAUGAAAAUAGUUCGUUGUUACAACUUUUUGUCACUUUGCUUAUAUUAUUAUUCUAACUACUUCAUAUCUUUAAUUGUUUUUUUCUUCUUUCUUUACAUCGCUGUUAUUCGCUACAUUUAAUUCAAACACAUUUCUGAUCUCUUGUAAAUUGUACAGUUAUAUACAUUUCACAAGUCGUUUUAUUGCAACUUUCACCCACCCGAUAAUGCCAUCACCAUGUUGUACCAUUCAUACAUGCAAAAAUCUAUUUUUAUCUGCUUUUCGCUAUUGUAGAUUCCAAUGUAAGCAUUGUUGAGCCUUCUCCUCGGCUGAAAUCGUGCAACUGUAUACAUACUCGUUUGCAAAAAAAGCUGUUAUUUUUUCACUCGUUUACACUUUGUGAAGGUUUGUUUUUUUCGAUUUCGGUCUGCAUCUUAAUAAAGAAAAAUGUCGAAGAAUUUUUUAAUAUGCUCACGAAAAGAUAAAUGUUUUUGUGGUUAGCUAAGUUACAUGCCUACAUACCUACAUACAUAUAUACCCGGAUUCAAUUCUAUUAUGGAGUUCUGGAAGUUUCUUGUUGCUUGUUUUAUUUCGCAUAUUUUUCAUUUUAUGCAGUCGAAUAUUGCUUUUUUCCAACUUUUGUAAAAGAGCACGAAUUUCCAAGGGGAAAAAUUGGGAAGAAGGAGAAAAACAAUUAUAUUUUUUAAUCAAAUGUUGGAUAAUACAAAUGGUCAGGGAUUUAUCUAGAUUAUAGGUCUACAACUUUGCUUCCGCCGUUUUCCAAUAGAUGUCUCUAGGGUCAAGCACUGGUCGAUUAAAUCGAUUUUUUUUUAUAUCCAUCUUGGACAUUUGUGUCAACAUUAACCCAACAAAAUAUUUGUAGAGAUCUGUUUGCAUCCCAAACUUAUUCUCAACAGAAAAUGUCACUUUUGAGCCGCAUUCUCGACGUUUGCGGGAAUGUCUCUAGGGUCAAUCACUGGUCGAUUAAAUAGAUUAAAUCGUUUUAUAUCCAUAGUGGACAUUUGUGUCAACAUUAAUCCAAACAAAUUUUGUAUAGAUCUAUUUGCAUUCCACUUUGAGCCGAAUUCUCAACAUUUGCGGGAAAUUUUGCUCUUCUUUUUUAAUUCCAAGAAAAGUGCACAAAAAAAACUUAUAUUUACAAAACGGCGGAAGUGAAGUUGUAGACCUAAUAUAUAUAUCUAAUAUUACUGUUCAUUUGUCCUGGAAUAAAUUCGGUGUAUUUAACAUAACCUCAAAAUUUGGGAAUCGAAUUGGGGUUUUUUAUAUUUUUGGCUGUGGUUCUUGCAGGGUCUCUUCGGGUGUCUUCUGGUAUAAAACCAGUGUAUUAAUAUUUAUGGAAUUUUGCAUAUUUUCUGUAUCAGCAACUUAAUAUAUUCACUUAUGUAGAUACUCAAUCUAUAUAUACAUAUAUACUCCUAUAUAUAAAUAUUUUAUUGUAUAUAACUUCAAGUAUGUACUUAUAUAUGCAUAUACAUACUUAUGGUCACAGUGUUUAUAAGAUUGUGCAUUUUGUCAGAGAAAAGUUUUCAUCCGCACACAUUAAUAUCCAUAUACAUAUAUAUGUAAGUAUGUAACAUCAACGCUUCGGUUCAUUUUUGCCUCCUCCCUUCACUUUGUGUGCUACACGACAGCUGUUGGAAAGUUCAAUUACUUUUCUAGCAUCAUCAUCAGCAGCAGCAGCAGCAUCAUCAGUGCGGCCGCAGCGCGCGAGGCACAGCAUCCAGUGCACGACAGUAAGCUUCCAGCCUGCCGCCUCUAACUACAGACAUACAAACAUACAUACAUACAUACAUGUGUACAUACACACUACCUUCCAUUUCAACUGCAAUAGCAAGAAGAAGGGUACCUUCUCCUCCUCCUCCUCCUUAUGACGUUCCAGCUGCGCCGCCUUGCACUGCCAACUCAACCCAAACGAUUUUUACGCGGAGUAUUGUUCGUUGUUUGGUCUGUCAUAUGUACUUUGUACAGAUUAUUGUUCGUUUUCUUGUUUUUGUUGUUCUUCUUGUUGUUGCUUUUAAUGCCACCAUUUGUGCUACUUUCUACUUCUACACCUUUUCGGGUGCAGGCUCAUUUUCUAGACUAUUCCAGCCUUUGCAUAUGAGCAGUUGAGCAGGGUAUCAUGACCAGUGGCAGGGAUAGCAACAACAACAACAAAACAUAAUCUACCACACUCGCUAAUGUAUAACCAACUUCAACAACAACUGCGGCUAACUUAUUACAUAACACAAUUUAUAUAUGUAUGUAUAUUAUAUUGGCAAUUGCCAAGCAUUAAGCGUAAACUUGGCAUGUAAUUUUGAAAAAUUAAUAAGAUUUUAUUUACUUUACACUAGUGGUUACGUUUUUUCCCCAAUUACUGCAGCCUAAUUUAGCAAAUAUUCCCACAAAAGUCCGUGAACAGCAUUGAUUCGAACAGCGAUAGUGAGGCAACGAGGUUUCCAAGAACUCCGUUUGAAACUUCCUGCUUAUUCUUUAAAGUUUUUAUAUAUUCUCUAGUCUAUGGCUCCGGGGGGAGCAAAGGACUACAAUGCUAUUCCUUCAUUCCUUACGAUCUUGUGCUCUUCUCUUGAUUUGACUCCAAAUUUUUUGAGCCUUAGAUAUGUCGAUGUCCAAAUUUCUUUUCCAAGUUAGAGUGGGUCGGUAUUUUCUUCGGCUGCGCUGUGGAUUCCAGUCGAUCGCGUUUCGGGUGAUUGUAUCUGAAUCUCGUUUCUGAAUAUGUCUGAGCCAGCGCCAUUUUCUUUUAAGGAUUAGAGGUGUUUGGUUUGUGUGUGACCAUAAGUUCGUGUUAGAGGCGAUGACGGGCCAGUAAAUGCGGCAAAUGUUGCGAAGUUUUCGGUUUGUGAAAACUUUAAACUUUUUGGAGUCAGAGGCUGCGAGAUUCCAUGUUUCACAAUCAUAUAGAAAGAGGGUUGAUUUAAUGUUGGAGUUGAAUAUUUUUAUUUUGGCACAUCGCGUAAUGAUGGAGGAUCUCUAGACCACAGAGAGUUUAGAAUGUGUUUAACCAGUUUUUUAUCCUAAUAUGUGUUAUAUAUUCUAAGUAGUCUUCAAAUCCGGCAAUCUACCUCAGAGCGAUAUCCCGACUCCGAUCUCUCUAAUUUAACCAUAAAUGACGAGUUAUGCCAGAGAUAAAAUACCAGCUAAAACUUACCGAUUCAUACCGAUACUGAUCAUAUGGCAAUUAUUCCCGGGUCAUACUGAAAGGCAACCACAUAUUACUCCGUAUGAAUUUUCUCUGGAAUGUGAGAUAAAAUUGGCACAAGAUUUCUAUAAUUUUGAGCGUUCCAAUCAAAAAUUAAUUAAAGGUCGUCCUAUACGGAAUUAAAAGGAGGUCAAAGCAAAUUAGCUUUUAAGGAUAUUUAAUAACUUUCGUUAAACAAUUUCAUUCGAAAUUUUUCGAACCUGAGAUACAUUUAAUUUGAUACAUUCAUAUUAUCGUAUAGUUCUCGUAGAGUUCUCGAACUAUUCAUCCGUUUAUAUCCUUACUCAUUUACUAUGUUCAGUUUAGAAUACUCCAAACAAAGACCUCUAAAUAAUACUAUCCGUUCAAGCCGUCUGUUCCAACCCUACUAGGAUGUUUAAAUAGGCUAUUCUAGAUUAUUUUGAUGAAAUAAAGUCCUAGUUCAAGUCAAGUCCAGUACUUUUGUAAUUUUAGUGUUCGCAGUCAAGUAUUAUAACUCGUUAAACGGUGUAAAGAAAUUUAAUAAUAGGUGUUAGCGUCUUGUCUUUUCGCACUAGUUCUCUUUCAUUAUUUUUACGAGUUUGUUCAGUUGCAGUCAACAAUUUACUGAUUACUUUGACAUUUAUAAAGACAAAUAUUUUUGUUUCAGUGCCUUUUCAUUUCAUCUUCCUUCCCUGCUUUACGAAUUUCUACUAUAUUCGAGUACACAUCAAUUGCAUACGUGUCGUCUUCAUAUAUAAAUACAUACUAUUACUACACAGCUAAAGUAAUAUAGUUUAAGUACCAUGUGAUUUCAUUGCUUUUAUUUAAAUUGCACUACAGAUCUACACUCGUACAAACGAUAAUACAAAUUAGCAUUGAAAAACACCCGCUUGAUCUUCAAACUGAAUCUCCACAUACUCGCCAAAAUACACAAAGUCCGCCGCCCUUUCACCACCACCUCUACCGUUAACUUAACUUAACGUUUCGCCAUUACUCGCCUCUUGUCACCACUUGAAAUUAAAAUAAUCCAAUUCAAUUCCUCCUCUCACUCAAAUUAACUCAGUCAUUUGUAUAUAUUUUGUUUUUCUUGCUUUUUACACUUUUCGCUUUCAUUUCAACAGCCAUACUUAUCACAUCGAUCGAUCGCUUGUUAUAUGCUAUUCGUACGCAAAUAGUACACAUGUGUUUGCAUCGAUUAUUAUUGAUCGAUCGUGCUGAUCAUCGACAACUUGGUGAACUACAAGUAUUUAGUUCUGUGCGCCUGUAUCGAACAGCUUCUAAUCGCAACAAAGGUGCCAUCAGAAAAUAAAAAUCUAAAUUUAGCAACUAGAAAUAAAUUUACUGUGAAUUCCGUUUCAUUCUAACCAUAUAUGCAUAUGUAUAGCUAUAUAAUGUGUAUUUUUGAAUUGUGCUUUUUGCCUAUAUAAAUACAUACAUAUAGACUAUUUGUACUGAAUAUUUUAUUAAUCAAAUAUUUGUUUUUUACUACUUGUACUAUAUUGCUUGUACUGAAUGUUCAUUAUUCCGUAUAUAUAGUGGUGAUCAGUUGGACUAUAGUACACAUGUUGAAAUAAUAUUUAUGACGCGAAAGUGUUACAAAUGAUUUUUUAAGAGUUAAAAAUUUGUAAAAGUAAAUUUCCUUAUUGAUUAUAAAUAAUUUUCUAUAAAUACUUAUCCACUCAAUUAAAAAAAUACUAACGUGACCAACCUUGACUGAAGCAGUUAGGCUUGGCAAUAACUGCAGAUCAGCCUUAUAAGAACGUUUGAUGAAUGAUAGUUCCAAGAGCCACUUCUAUAAAUUAUUAUGUGAGCCUAAAGCGGAAAUAACCUCAAAAGAUCUAGUUAGAGUAAAGUCCUCUUCUACGGUGCAGAAGCUUGGACGAUGUCAACAUCAGAUGAGACGACACUAGGAGUUUUCGAGAGGAAAAUUUUGCGCAAGAUUUAUGGUCCUCAGAACAUUGGCAACGGCGAAUACCGCAGACGAUGGAACGAUGAGCUGUACGAGUUAUACGACGACAUUGACAUAGUUCAGCGAGUAAAAAGACAGCGGCUACGCUGGCUAGGUCAUGUUGUCCGAAUGGACGAAAACACUCCAGCCCUGAAGGUGUUCGAUGCAGUACCCGCCGGAGGAAGCCGAGGAAGGGGAAGGCCUCCACUCCGUUGGAGGGACCAGGUGGAGAGCGACCUGGUUACACUUGAGAUCUCCAACUGGCGCCGAACUGCGAAGGAGAGAGAGAAGUGGCGCACUAUCGUCGAUUCGGCUAUAACCGGCUAAACGGUUGCAACGCCAAUCACAUACUUACAUACAAUCUUUCCCUACACUCAGCAAUAAGGCCUUGUUAAUACUUAUUCAACAUAUUAAUUCGGAGACUAUUUAGAGGGCAAUAGUCAAAAUUCUGCCAAAUAAUAGAUACUGUGUUCUGAUAUAAUUCAUUUGCUAUCAAUGUGGAAUCCGACAGAUGACUGGUUGCAAGUUUCUGGGUUAAAUGUUCCGAAAUCCUAAAGUCCGUAGAUCUAAUGUCAUUUUCUCUUCUUCCAUCUCUAUCAGAAUAAUCUUGAAAUUGUAUAAUCUUGCUGAAGAAUAAAUAGCUUCGUCAAACGCGUGAAUUAAAAUACUCUUCUGUGAAAAACUGAGUUUAAAGUAUCAAUUUUGAGUCGUUGUCAACAUUUAACCGAAAGAUCCCAACUUUAUAAUCGUUCAAUGAUUGUUAACUUUAAAUACUAUUGUGUUUCAAAAUUGACACCUCAUGUGUCAAUUGCCGUUUUCUAUCAAAAGUAUCUAUAACAAAUUUGUAUUUCAAAUAUAUGUAUGCAUUACAUAUUUUAUGAGUUCUACUAUCUAUUCACCAUGAAUCAAACUGCUGAAUAGUGAAUUGAUGAGUGAAAACUUGCUUUAUAGCCUUUUCACAUAGCAGCUAAUUGAUCAAUUAACCGGCCUCUGCUCAAUCAAAACGCUGAUUAAGAUUGAUUUACUAUACAAAGUAAAAAUCUACAUUAAUUUUCAAUUAAAUUUUAAUCGACUUGAAAAUGAAAUGCACAUCUGCAAGAAAACCGUAUUUGUAUAUCAUAUAUAAACGUUCUUUGUCUGCGAGUUGUUAUUCACGCUUCACGACGAUAGAUGUUGCUGCUAAAAAUAGCAAUCAGCUGAUGAAACUUACCAACUUCUUAUGAAAAGCCAAAA